AUUGAACGCUGGCGGCAGGCCUAACACAUGCAAGUCGAACGGUAACGGGAAGCAGCUUGCUGCUUUGCUGACGAGUGGCGGACGGGUGAGUAGUGUCUGGGAAACUGCCUGAUGGAGGGGGAUAACUACUGGAAACGGUAGCUAAUACCGCAUAACGUCGCAAGACCAAAGAGGGGGACCUUCGGGCCUCUUGCCAUCGGAUGUGCCCAGAUGGGAUUAGCUAGUAGGUGGGGUAACGGCUCACCUAGGCGACGAUCCCUAGCUGGUCUGAGAGGAUGACCAGCCACACUGGAACUGAGACACGGUCCAGACUCCUACGGGAGGCAGCAGUGGGGAAUAUUGCACAAUGGGCGCAAGCCUGAUGCAGCCAUGCCGCGUGUAUGAAGAAGGCCUUCGGGUUGUAAAGUACUUUCAGCGGGGAGGAAGGGAGUAAAGUUAAUACCUUUGCUCAUUGACGUUACCCGCAGAAGAAGCACCGGCUAACUCCGUG
RNAcentral lists this ribosomal RNA (490 nucleotides) under uncultured bacterium. Its description in RNAcentral is "partial 16S ribosomal RNA". It matches the Rfam family "Bacterial small subunit ribosomal RNA", at positions 30 to 507 of the family's 1533-position model. The record is from RNAcentral.